AAAGUAAGGAUCAGAGGUUUGAGAGAGGAGGACAGAGAAUGGAGGAAGGGGAAAAAAGACCCGCAAAUAAUGUACUUGUUUUUCCAAAGAAUGAUGCCAAAUUUAAUGAGUGGCUGAAAAACAGUUAAGAUAUAGAAGAGUACUAAGCUCUCUGUAUUUAAAGAAUUUGGCCAUCUCCACACCCCAGAGGGAGGCUGACUGGGGCUUGAGGGAUGAUUGGGAGUGAUCACACAUACAAAUACCUGUAUCAAGAAGCAAGCUGCAAUAGGAUCUAGUUCCACCUGCUCCUGUUCAGUAAGCAUACUCUAUUGGGAAAUGGAUUUUUGACAUGUACCUCAGCUCUGAAAACUGGUGUUAUCCUCGCUAAUCUGGGUUUACCAGGACUGCUUCAGCUGGACGAGGUAUUUGUCAGACUUCAGUGAGAAAAUCAGGUUUUGAUGCUACUUCGUCAAAUUUCAUGCAGCCUCUUGGGCAGCUGAAAUCUGUUCUGUCAUGCUGCAUCAGCUGCCAUAAAGCUUCACUCACUGGGCUUCAGCCCACUGUGAAUCUCAUGUGGUAUAAAAAGACAUCAAGAUAGUGGGACCAUGAAGUUGGCAUUUCAAACUGAGUUUGCCUCAGUGCGCCUUUCCACAGUUGAUGCACUAAGAAGUAACCCAGUCUUACAGGAGGUUAUCUUGCUGUAUACCCGGAAAAACAUUCCUUGAGGACUGAAAUGCAUUUGAUUUAGUCUGAGCAAACAAUAAUGUCAAGUCUAAGGGCUAUCAUGUACCCAGGAUUUGUUGAACACAUUCUCUUUUCCUACUGGAGAUUAUUUCUGCAUGCAGUAUGAGAAUUUUUUACAUUUGUCCAGGAUUUCUCUGUGUCUGGUGAUGCUAUCAAGGCCCACAGAGCACAGACUUUGGCUGAGUACCAUUUAUUCAGUGAAUAUGAUACUUUCAGAAAAUGCUGUACUUGCUGUGUAUUUGUGAUACUCUGUUGCUGCACAGUGGGUCUGGGGAUUCUUGAAGGGUUUGGACGAAAUUUCUUUGAAUGUACAACUACACAGCUCUUGUUUUCUGCUCUUAGACGUGUUGGACAAAUAGUGUGUGCACACUUACUUCUAUCAGUGAAUUCCUAAAAAUGUGACAGCCUUAACCCUGUGUCUGUCUGCUAACUACUUGUCUGUUCUGGGUUUGAGAUGACCUAGGAUUUCCUUGCACACUUUCUGGCACAGGUUGAUGACAGCAAUGUGCUGCAUAGAUUUCUGUGUUGUACUGACCCCUCCUUCCCAGGCCACAGAAGACUCGCCUGGGUGUGAGAACUGAUGCAAGAUCUAGAGCUGACCAUGGACAUUGGCUGGGAGCUGGUGAAAGGACGUGGCAUGCUUGCAGCAGCUUACAGUAGAAAGUAGCAUGUUGCAGCAGCCAUCUCCUUAACAUGGAUUUCACCUUCUGAUAUGGUGAAUUGCAUAACCCAGGUGAGCGGGGAUGGAUCCAGUCACUCCUCUCACCUCUCUCCCAUUGCAGCGGGACAUGGCUGUGGCCAGCUGCAGCCUUUGAGACUGCCUGCUCGUGGCUCCCUGUGCCCCUUGCCAUCUGAAAUCUUCUUUCUUAGCUCCCAGACACUAGUGUUACCCCAUGUACUUUCGUUCUUUGGUCGCAUUCUUUCCUCAUCACUUCCCAAAAUGAGCAUCCAGGUUUUCUCUUGGUGAGGUCAGAUUAAACAGCACCAGGAAAACACAUGGCUGGUGUCGGGUCAGCGCUGAGUUUCAGGGGCAGGGAAGGUGUAACGUAGUUAAUCAUUAGCAAGCACGGCCCCUUCCCUUCCCGGCACAGGGCCCGCUGGGAGGUUAUUGAUCUGUCAGCAGUCUGCAGGGCCUCUGCUGAGGACAAGAUGGAGUGGUGCCUUCCAAAGCAGGGAUCGAUUGCCUCGGCGUGUGCGCAGCAAGGGGGCUGUUGCAAGCGAAGGCCCAUGUCCGUGCUGAUCCUGGGUACAUCUGCCACAGGCUGACACAGGAGCAAUUAGUGCUGAGCUGAAUGUGCCUUUGUGCUGGUGUGGUGUCCCACUUUGCAUUGUUAAUGCCUCCUGGCUGUUGUGAUGGUGUGGCAGAGAACAAGAGGCAAUUUUAGAUAAAUAUGUUUUAAUCCUGGGGUGACUAUACACGAGGAAAUUGCUAAGGACAUAAAUGUAACAAGAGUCACACUGGAUCAGACAUAUGCCUGCUUAGCUCAGUGUUACUCCUCUUGUGACACAACAAAUGCCUUGGGAAUUAUCUAGAAGAGGGUCAGUGUAACAACAUCAGUACUCCAGGAUAUUGUCCCCCUGAUCAGAAGAAAAUUCCUGAACCACUAGCCUGUCUUUUCUCAUCCCAAGCUAUCAUCUGGCUACAGGGUUUUGCUUGCCUGGUUUGUCCUACCCUGCAGGAGGGGGCCUGGAAAUCAGGACCAUAAGUAACAAUCAGUCAGCUGAAAGGAAUGUGCUCAAGCUUGUAGGCCACAAACCUUGGGAGGACAAGGAUCGUGAAUAGAUAACAACAGACAGGAUGAGUCAGGCUGAGAAAAGAUAAGGGAUGAGGAACAGAUGGUGCCAAGGAGAAGUAACACGUUGCUGUUAAUUGAUGACUGUAAAAACUUACUUAGUAAGUGUCCUUUGUUUGUAGUUAACCAAUUAGGGAUUGCCUAGUAUGUAAUGCUUAGCUUAAAGAACCGAUCUGUUUAAAGCACGCAGCUUCUGAAAACAUAUAUAAACUCGUGAUUGUGUACAAUAAAUUGACAUUUGCUUGCA
Long non-coding RNA from Falco peregrinus (peregrine falcon), 2763 nucleotides. RefSeq lists it as uncharacterized. Lineage: Eukaryota; Metazoa; Chordata; Aves; Falconiformes; Falconidae. The transcript is spliced from 3 exons. The record is from RefSeq and is a predicted model, not a curated record.